GAUCAUACCAGCACCAAUCCACCGGAUCCCAUCAGAACUCCGCAGUUAAACGUGCUUGGGCGAGAGUAGUACUAGGAUGAGUGACCUAUUGGGAAGUCCUUGUGUUUAAAAAC
Molecule: ribosomal RNA, 113 nt
Filed under: Medicago truncatula (barrel medic)
Lineage: Eukaryota; Viridiplantae; Streptophyta; Magnoliopsida; Fabales; Fabaceae
Source: RNAcentral